This is a long non-coding RNA of Phycodurus eques (leafy seadragon), 2074 nucleotides long. RefSeq lists it as uncharacterized. The transcript has 3 exons. Lineage: Eukaryota; Metazoa; Chordata; Actinopteri; Syngnathiformes; Syngnathidae. The record is from RefSeq and is a predicted model, not a curated record.
AGCGUUGUUGUAUACAGUAUGCUUCUAUUAUAAACAUGUGCGGUUGGUAGUAGCAGUAUGUUUCCAUUGGAGGAAGCGCAUUGUAGCAGUCAAGAGACAGGAGCCAAUUGCUGCUUUCACAGUGUCACCUGAUUCAGGUAAGCUAAUCAACUAAUAUUGAACAAAUAAUGGUUCACAGCUGGUGUAUGAAUAUGAUGUAUCGAGUGGUGCAUGACUCCAGAAUCCAAUUCAGACAACUUGCCUCCCAGUUUUUUAAGAUUUUCUUGUUUUUUUUCUGGAGUAACUUACUGGCAACACUUUGUCGAUGGAGGCGAGGAAAACAAAUAGCCCCCUUAAUAAACCUCGAACAGAACUAUCACUGUUUGGGGUGGCCGUCUGCCUCGACCGGUUGGGUUGAGAGAGAGAGAGAGAGAGAGAGCAGAGGGACAGAGAGCAGAUAAAUGCAUUUUUUAACAUAACCCUUAAUGGCAUUAUUAGUACUCAGUGGUAGGAAGUAACGAAGAAUAAAUUCUUUGUUAAGUAGAUUUUUCAGUUGUCUGUACUAUACCUGAGUAUUUCUUUUUCUGACGACUUUAACUUUUACCUCCUCCAUAUAAAAACUGAAAUCUCUACAUUCUACUCCUUAAUUUGUCAAAAUUGUCUCGUUACUUUUUUCAGCCUCUGACGAUGAUGACACGACAUCAAAAAGGUCACGACUGACUGAUUGAUUUUGAUUUGGGGGGCUUUUAAGGUGAAUACAACAGAAACAAAAGUGCCACAAAGGAAAAUGAACCAGGGAGAUUUGAAGACGCAACAUAUUCCACAUCCAUUACCUUAUCUCAAGAGAAUUGUUUCAUUGUCAGCUCUGACAAUGAUUGGUGCUCAAGUAAAUACUGUACUGAAUAGCAGAUGUAAUGGCAUUUGUUUUAGCUGCAUCUCUGGAAGCAGAAGCGUCUAUACAACAAUGGGGACAGCAAAAGAUUCGCUCCCAAAAGCAUCGUGCUGCAGGAAGAAAAUACGUUCACCCGGCACAGCGCAACACAGCUUCCUGUCUGAACUGCUGCACCAAAACCCUAUGAACCACAGACAGCACCUGGUGGCGUCUCUAACGACAUGCGUACGUGUACGUCCACACAAGUCGGAACACAUGCAAUUUUAUUCUGCAGUUGCUAUUCUGGAUUUUAUAAUGCACAAUGUUUUAUAUACACAACAUAUCAUCAAAGUUGUCUGUCCACGUACUGUACUGCACAAAAGGCACAAACACUCAUUCCCCUUGCACAUUUAAGCACAGAUCACCCUUCGCAAGUACCAGACACCCAAAUGUUUAGCACCCCCUUGUGGAUGCCAGUAGAGCCACACUCGAGGUGAGAUGUAUUCAUCUUAACUUUAUUCAUGACUAUGUUUUAUGCGCAUGUACAUGUGCAAACUAAUACAGUGCAUUACAAGUUCUAUACAUAUAAACAUAUAUUUUUUGCAUCAAAUAAAUUUGUAAAAUCACACAUACAGCACAUCACGGACAUUCUGAACUGUGCAUAGCAGAAUAAAUGCAUUGCAAUAUUAAUAGCAUGAAAGAGGACAACUAUGAGCAAAUGGUUACAGAUGACAUGGCAACACAGUUUGGGAGUUCACACACAUUAUGUGCUUGUAUGAUCUAGAGACAGAUUUUGAGCCAACUUGAGAAUAGUUUAAGAGAGAAAUGUGUGAUUUGUUGCAGAUUCUUUGUUAAAAUCGUCUUGCAUGCAAUUGCAUAGCCCGUAUGUUGCCUUUGAGGUGAGUCAGAGCCAGAUCUCCUCACUGCUGGUGCUAUUCACCUUGUAGAUGUAGCCCACCAUUGGAUAUCUGGCAAAGCCUGGGUGUGGCACGGAAGCAAGAUUGGACAAUUAAAGAAAUGACCACACUUUUACUUGUCUAUAGAGAACCCACAUUUUGAAAUAAUAAAUGCAAACGCGCCUCCUGACCUCUCGCAGCAUAGGCUAAAGACAGAUCUUCAUCCUCCUCAUCUUUCUUCUUCUCCCCACCACUGAUUUGCUGGGUGUUCUCUCCUGGUUUGGAGAGCAAUGCAGAGGUAUUGGAGCAAUGGAUGAAAUAUAAAAAG